UGUUGCUUGCAAGGGCGUAUGGUGGAUGCCUUGGCAGACAGGACCGAUGAAGGACGUUUGAGGCUGCGAUAUGCCUCGGGGAGCCGCCAACAGGGCUUUGAUCCGAGGAUUUCCGAAUGGGGGAACCCACCGACCGUCAUGGGUCGGUACCGGCUUCGGCCGGGGGGUACGCAGGGAAGUGAAACAUCUCAGUACCUGCAGGAAAGGAUAUUCCGUGAGUAGUGGCGAGCGAAAGCGGAUGAUGGCCAAACCUUGCGCGUGUGAUACCCGUCGGGGGUUGCGCGCGGGGUGUUGCGGGAUCGCGUGCGCCGGCUCCGACGGGCCGGCCGGCAGUUGCAGAAAACCAUGUGUCAGGGGAACCGGGUUGAAUACCGGGCCGCAGAGGG
RNAcentral lists this ribosomal RNA (386 nucleotides) under Lacticaseibacillus rhamnosus. RNAcentral describes it as "partial 23S ribosomal RNA". It matches the Rfam family "Bacterial large subunit ribosomal RNA", at positions 1 to 364 of the family's 2925-position model. Lineage: Bacteria; Bacillati; Bacillota; Bacilli; Lactobacillales; Lactobacillaceae. The record is from RNAcentral.